This 48-nucleotide non-coding RNA is filed under the name Schistosoma mansoni. Lineage: Eukaryota; Metazoa; Platyhelminthes; Trematoda; Strigeidida; Schistosomatidae. The record is from RNAcentral.
AUCUAACUGACGAGUCCCGAAUAGGACGAAACGCUCCUUGUCCUGGAU